RNAcentral lists this transfer RNA (73 nucleotides) under Canis lupus familiaris (dog). It matches the Rfam family "tRNA". Rfam says of the family: Transfer RNA (tRNA) molecules are approximately 80 nucleotides in length. Their secondary structure includes four short double-helical elements and three loops (D, anti-codon, and T loops). The record is from Rfam by way of RNAcentral. Lineage: Eukaryota; Metazoa; Chordata; Mammalia; Carnivora; Canidae.
AUCUGCCUGGUUUAGUCCAUAGAGCAUGAGACUCUUGAUCUCAGGGUUGUGAGUUCAAGUCCCACGUUGGGUG